UAACCUCUAGACAUGGUCUCUAAUCUUCUGAUUCAGUGUUUGUGUCCAGUUUACUGACCACGGCUUCCCCAAACCCCAAUCAUGUGUACCAGCAGCCAAAGAGCUUUUUGGAUCGUACAAACUGAAAAUGACAACCAAACUAAUGACAAGUCAGUUGAGAAAUUUUUAAAAGUAAACUCUAGGACUAAGAGUCUAAAUAUCUCUACAAAUACAAUAAAUUUCUCAGUUAAUGCUCCUCUCCAUUUCUGGAUAAGAGCCUUGAACAGGAGUAAGGUUUGAACAAUGUGGAUGUGUGAGCAUGUGUGUGUGUGUGUGUGUUUGUAUAUCUGCAUGGUUUAUAAUUGUGUUCCUAUUUAGGGUUUGUAUCUGACCAUUAGCAAAUUUAUUAUAAAUGCAAAACAUUCAAUAAAAUUGAACUACCUUUUUCUUUGUUUCUUUUGAUAUUAACAAGUGUUAACAUGGAUGUUUUCAUUUUAUUUCUCAUAUUUUGGGGGGAGAAUUGGUAAAUUUUUCUGACAGCCUUUGGCCCACAACCUUUUAAAGGAAUGCUAACAUUUCCUGUCUUUCUAUGUGAAUGCCACCCAUUGGCUCACCCUUCCCCUCUCCCCUCCCCAGUGUUCUGGCUAUGGUCUACACCAUAUUAAUUUCCCCCAUCCCUUCUUCCAAAUUCCAUCCCUUUCCGGCUCUUCUUUGUCAGUGCAUACAUUUUCUUCUCUGUAAACACUAGGGUUUGUUUCAUUUUUUUAAUGUCUCCAGUGAUGUGCCCUGAUUUUGUUAGGAUUUUUGUACAGAGGAGGGGUACUAAAGUGAGUAUUAGAAGUUUGCCUUCUGCAUUUGUCAUUCAAUGUCCUGCAUUAGUUCUUCCAUGAUUUCUCUUCUCGAUACAAUACAGGCAGGCAUUACUUUUGUGUCUAAAGCUUACUAAUGAUAUAUUUCAAAGUUUUGCCAUUUUCAAGCUUCUGAAGUGUGACAUUUAUGUGUGCUCAGUUGUUUGUUUUAAAACCAAUUCCACUAUCAUGUAGUAAUUAAAUCCUUUUUCCAUGUGGUUUUGUUAAGACAUGAGUCACUUAGGUUUUUUGCUAACCAUAAGAAGUCACAUUACAGGGGUCUAUAUAUUCAUCAGCUGACAAAAGUGUGAAUUGAAUUAUCCAGGAAAUGAACCCUGCGUUUUCUGUAACACAGUGCUUCAUGAUGUUAUUUCAUUGUUCAUGUCUUCUUAGUACGUUUAACGUUUUACAAUAAUGAAGUUGACUCCACCUAGUUAGUAACUGCCGAAGAACUUAUUGGAGCUAAUAAAAAUAAUAUUCACCCUAAAUGUCUAAAAAGGUAAGGAACAUAUUUUAAAGUUAAACUUCAGAACUGUUAUUGUAGUCAUUUUUCUCAAUUAAGACAAUACAUUUAUCUUUUUAUCCUAUUUCCCUUUGGGAGAAUAGUCCCCUAACAAAUGAGCUCUCAACCACAUUGAGUCGUGUGUGCAUAUGUGUGUGUGUGUGUGUGUGUGUGUGUGUGUGUGUUUGAGUUAGUUAUUAAUUUAAAAGAUGAAUUUUGUGAAAACGUUUUUCUUGAUGUUUCAUUUCUAUGACAUUGACCUUAAACUUUCCAUUUUAUUUCUCUAAAGUACCUCAGGAAAGAAAUGGUAAGUAUUCUAAAAUCUCGUUACUCAAACCUCAUUCAUGUGACUGAUUUCUCGCGGGCUUAACGUUCUAAAUCGCUUAAUCUGUAUGCUUUUCUUUGUCUUGUCUUUCUCCUGGGUGUCUGUGUUUAUUCCAAGUAAUGUUAUUUUUAAACGAUAAUUUUUAUUUCAAGAGAAUACAUUUUAAGUAUAUUUGGAUUUAAUGUUUGUUUGAAGCUGUAUAUAAGUCCAUCUGCACACAGAGUAUUGUACAAUGGUGGCUUUAGUCAAUCUAUGCUUUCUCUCUCUCUUUUGAAGUACCUCUUUUUGUGUACGAGUGUGUCUUUUCCUUUUAUUCUGGAAAAGGUUUGAGACCCAGUACACACCAGUGAUUGGCACAUUCCAUAUCCUUUAAACCAGAGGGAGUGCCAAUUCUACUGCCUUGCAUUCUGCGAUGUGCAGCUUAGCCUCCUUGCCAUUAGGAAGGAUACGAAAGUGAAAUCUCAUUUCCUUUGAAGUGAGGUGGUCUUUGAACUUGGCAGUUUUAAUUCUCAGAAGACAGUUCUCAGAAACAACUUUGGAAGUGUUUGAAAGAUUUGACCUUCUCCUUUCUGACACUGUGCCCUCCCUUUCAAUGAACUGUUUCUUUCUUUCUUUUAGUUAUGAAUAAACGUCAAGAAGAAAAGGAAAGAGAAGAGAUCAUGAGAAAGUCACAGGGGAUUCCUGUUUCAGGAAAUCCUCAGGGAAAAAAGGUAAAUUUUUUGGAAAUAUGUUAACGCACAAAUCCCUUUUACACUACCGAUUUCUCGAGGCCUUGAGAUUCCCUGUUGCUAAUUCAUACACCUUUCCUUGUUUUGUACUCCUGAAUUUCUAACUUUCUCUAAUUUUCAACAUAUAGAGUUUCAUAUCGUGUACUUAGUUUCCCUUGGUUUCUCUCUCUUGAAUCCUUUUCAAUUCUUACUUUUUCUGCUCUGUAUCAUUUUCUUCCUCUAAACACUAACAUUUUGUCUUUCUGUGACCUGUUCUGGUUUCACUAGGAAGUUGUUGAGAGGAACAGCACUCAGUUGGAAGGCACACUGUUUCCACUCUGUAUAUUUUUCCAGGACACCGCAAGAUGGGAACUCUAUCACAUAUUUCAGGUUCAAGGGCUCAUUCUGAUGCCAAUGAAACUUUCCCAAAUGAAUAGAGAUUUCCCAAACUAAUUUCAAAGCCUAUGAAAUUUAUGCUCUCAUUGACCAGUCAAUGCAAAUUCAAGGCUUAUUCUCCAACUGUGACAGAAUUUUGAUUGCCCAAAGAAUCCCAGGUAUGAAAAUAUGUCCCAUGAAUAUUCUCAGAAUAUUUUCUCACUGCAGAAAUUAUUGUGUUUUUGUCAUUUUCAAUAUCACAUUUACUGUUUACAUAAACUGCAAUUCCUAUUAAAUAUGUGUGGAAGGACUUUAAAUCACAGGGAAUGUUCAAUUAUUGUACAUCUCUCAAUUCUCAAUUUUUCAGGUGAAAUACAUGGGCAACAAUAACCAUGGGUUUUGUCAAAUACAUUUCUUACACACACAUAUAAUUCAUAGCAAGUCAGUAACCUCUUAGUCAUCAUUUUGCAAUGACAAUUUUUAAUUCAAAGAGAAUUCAUCUUACAAACAUACUGAUUUAAUAUAUAUAGAAUAUAUGAUUACUGCUACAGAAGAGUUGGAGACAGAUACAUAACUUUAUUUUGUCCUUUUCAUCUCUUUUCAAAUAUCUCUCUUGUGAAUAAGUGCGUGUUUUCAUUUUAUGAUGAAAAAUGUCGGAGGAAAAAUGCAAAAGCAGAAUCAGUGAUUGAUAUAUUUUGUAUCCCAGAGGGAUAGGUAGCACUCCAUUCUACUUCCUUGCAUCGGUGUAUUGCCAGUCUUGUUCUCUUUCAUCAAAGGGGUGUAAGGAAGUUAAAAAAACUCACAUAUUUCUGAUUGUUUACCCAAUUUCUACCUUGUCGUUGCUCUGAGUGUUGGCAUCUUCCUUUGCUCUUCAGUGAUCUCACAUUGUUGCUUCUUGGAUUUGUCGUUUGAUUGCAAUCUAUGCAGAUAUUCCUUUUGAGCCACAUAAGCUUUAUUAAACACACGCAUCUGAAAUAUUGGCAUUUUCACUAAUAAUGUGAAAGUUUUGUUCAAGAUAUGUCAGGUGAUUUGAUUUAGACAAUUUCACUGCCAUGUGACACUUCCUGCCCUUCUUUUCAUGGAAUUUGAUUAAGAAGAACAUUAGUUAGGCAUUGAUC
Molecule: long non-coding RNA, 3854 nt
Filed under: Sus scrofa (pig)
Lineage: Eukaryota; Metazoa; Chordata; Mammalia; Artiodactyla; Suidae
Description: lncRNA (ENSSSCG00000043486.1)
Source: RNAcentral